Molecule: long non-coding RNA, 6502 nt
Filed under: Sus scrofa (pig)
Lineage: Eukaryota; Metazoa; Chordata; Mammalia; Artiodactyla; Suidae
Description: lncRNA (ENSSSCG00000058313.1)
Source: RNAcentral
UAAUUCAAGAGAAUUCUGAGUGAAGGCUGGGUUUCCAAAUUGUAAGGACCAGCCUCGUACUAACACAGUGGAAGGAGAAAUAGCUUUGCCUUGGCACAUCACCAUGGAAUUUCAGAACACUGGGGAGAAAGAGGACUCUGUAACUUCCUGAGAGUAUGAACAAGACACCAUACAAAGGAUCAGGCUUCAGAACAGCUUUGAGGAUCAGGAAUCCUCAAAUGCCACACUGGGCAAUAGAGGGAUUCGACCCUCUCAGAAUUCUGAGGGAAAUACAUACAAAAGUCAAGCUGAAGACUUGCAGUUUCUUUAAAAACUUACACUCCACACAUCCUUUCUUAGAAAACUAUUAGAGGAUGUAUUAUUCCAGAAUGAGGGAGUAAACCAAGAAAGGAGAAAGCCUGGUAUUCAGGAAAUGUGGGUCCAACAAGAGAGGCAAGGUGACUCCGCAGCAGCGUGGUGAAAACUCUCAGGAUGGCAGCCGAGCCUCAGGCACAGUAGAUGCCCAGUCGGGAUCAGAUGUGCGGAGGCUGAGGCUCCGGAGAAGGUGUCUCAGUUACAGAACACCUGUGGUCUCUGCAUAUGUGGAUAGGAGUUGGGCUUGACUUACUGACGAGUACCUAGGAAAGCAGGGGACAGAACUCCAAGGAACACGAGAGGCUGGGCGAGGCAGGAAGACGUUAUCCCAGUAACACUGGAGGCCUCAGUCCUAAUAACAGCAACCUACUACCUACCGCGCUGUUACGGGGGCAUGGAAGGUGGAGUGUGUGGGGUAAAAGCUAGAUACUACAGAGCAGAAUUCAUUACAACCAACGGAGGCAGCAACAAAGACAAAAUGUGCGUCUUUCCAAAGAACUGAAACGAUACACCUCCAGAGAGGUGUCAGGACAAAAAGCGUACAAAUCCAGUAUUUAAAAGGGAAAUUUUACCGACCAUGUAAAAAGAUGAGAGGACAUAUUAUAACAACUUUUUGAUAGUAAUGUGAGAAUUCAGAAGAAACGGUCACCUUCCUAGAAAAACAACACCCAAUUUAAGAAGGUGCUCUCACAGCCACCAGGGCAGCCACUGCCCUUCAGCAAGUGGCAUUUAGUACUUGUCCCGGAAAUCUUGGCGCGUCUCCUUUAAGAGGCAGUGAAGCCCCGCCCCGCGUGGGAACGCCAUCUCUUAGCGCCCAUUCUGACCUACGUCACACCCGUGUCGGGCCAAUCCAGGAGGGGGUGUUCCUGUGCGUCCGGCGGCGUGGGGCGGGACUUCCGGAGCCGUCCUCCCGGGGUCGCUUCCGCCCUGGGGUCUGUGCAGCUCGGAUCCAGCAGGGAGGUGCGUGGGGGCCGUGCCGGGGGAUUCCCGGCUGGCGCCCCUCCUCUGGCAGGGCCGGGUGGUCUCAGGAUGUGGCCCGGGAGGCCGAGCGGCGCCUUGAUUGGGUUCGGGGCCUGCUGGUGGCGAUCCGACGCGGGGAACGUUUCACUUGUGGCCCCGGGUGGUUGGUGUGAAGCAGAGGGGGCACCUUCUGAGCGCUGUGUUUUUGUAAGAGGGUGUCGGGUCGGGGCUCCCCACGCACGUCUGUCCACUCAGACCCGUACCGUGCGGCGUGUGGCCCAGGCUGAGGACCGGGGCGCCGCAGCCGGCAGAAGCUGCCGUCAGGAGGAAGCUUCCGUUUUCCCGGCGCCAAAGCAGCACCGCGGAGAAACCCUGCAAAAGCGGGCAGGGUAGGGCCUCGUGGAGCGCUGUGGAGCCACGUGUCAGAGAACGCCCUAGUGUGCGGGGGGGACAGGUUCCCCGGCGCUGGAAGACGGCGCCAGGCCAACCACAGGAGGGGGCGGCCAGGUAGGGGCGCGGGGGCGGGGAGCCCUUAGACCCUGGGCAGUGCAUCCAGUGUGAGGGAGCCCAGGCAGCCCCAGCCGGGGGGGGGGUCUGAAUGCACUUAACCCCCCCUCAGAAUCCACACUGGCGAAGGGCCUUUUGAGUGCAGCCGCUGGGGGAAGGAUGCAUUCAGCGAAGAAAACACACUUGUUUGGUGCAGGACAGAAAGGCCCAGUUAGUGCAGUAAGUGUCAGAGAGCCGGUAGCCACACUGCUCGGCUCCCUCAGCCUCAGAAAGUUUAUACUAGAGAAAGUCCCUUUGAAUCCAUGGAAUGAGAGCCCUUUGCCAAAGGUCUGAUUUAGCUCUGGGAAGUUCACAGCCUACAAAGGUGUUCAGAGUGCAGCAAACGUGGGAAGACCUCCUGCCAAAACUUCAAACUUGGGUUGCCUCAAAGUCUGUUAAGUCCGACCAGGGUGAGAAGGCAUUAAGCUGCAGGUCCAGCCUCAUUCACCCCUGACAGAUUCACACACAGGAAGACCUCAUGAAUGCAGAGAAGGGGAAAAGCCUCUCCCCAAAGAGCUUCGUUCAGCCCUGGGAUGUUCACCCCAGGGAAAGGCCUCUGAGAGCAGCUGUCGCGAGAAAACCUUCAGUCAAGAGCCUCACCUCGUAAAGCCUCGGGAGGUUCACCCCGGAGAGAGGACUUAAGUGUGCAGGAAAUGUGCUCGCUCCUUGUUUGGUGUAACAGGACGCGUGCCUGAGACCGGCUGGCAGUAUCCUCCGUGAGGAUGCCGUGAGAAGAGAGGUUGAACUUCAUGUGGUCAGAUGCCCACAGGGGCCAUUCCUAAUGAGCUCUGGGUGUCGGGGGCGCCUUGAGGAGUUAGGUUGCACUUUCUCAGCUGCCCAGGACUCUUGCCAUAGUUAUCUCACUGUCAGUGCCUCUGCAGAAGCCAUCUCACCAUUGCCAGCUGGGAGGGACUUGAAACUGCUUGUUCCAGUCCCUGGAGGGGCCCUGUGAGCAGCCCCUUGUGAACAGAAUUGGAGUCUGCCCGCAUUGAGGGCCAAAGGAAUUGACAGGGAAGAAUACUGGACUUUCGGCCUAUUUUAUUGCUGCCCAGGACCUCCUGGGAGUGACUGAAGUGUCAGAGGCUUAAUCCUGUGGCCUGGAAAUCAGGAUUGUUUGGGGUGUGGAGGUCACCCUGGGGGGGGGGGCGAGAGCCCCCAGUGCAUCUCAGAACCCUGUCCCUUGUUCCCUGGCCCUGCUAAAGGGAGCUUUUCCUUAGCAUCAGCCUAGGAUCCUUGUCCCCUGAAGUUCAGAACCCGCUAGGCAGGUGUCAUUGACCGUAACAUCUACAGGGGCCAUGUAGGAGCCAUAAUUAGUGCAGAAAGACCAGGUGUCAUAGUUGGGAGUGGAGAAGACUGCGGCACAGUUAAGAGGGUGUUUGUGACCCUUUUACGUGGACGCUCAGAAUUGUUCUAGUAACUCUGUCUCUGAGAGUGUGCAGAAAUUCUCAGGAUCUCCAAACGCAUGUCUCUCCUACAGCCAAGUUCACUAUCAGCAAAUGAUCUAAUUUCUGCAGUAGUUGAGGCCACUCUAGGGCAGGGAAGGUCACUAGGUUGCCCUGGGCUUCUGGGCCAAGGCUGGCAGGCAGGAAGCCACCUGUUGGUAUGCCAAGAAAUUCGCUGGGAAGCUGCUUGCAGAGUUUGUUGAACUUGGUGGAAGCUGGCUGGAGGGGGCUGGACUCCCCGGGAGUGCUGGGAAGCUGCCUGUGGGGAAGAUGAACUUUCUGGGAAGCCAGUUAGGAUUCCUGAAGAGCUCAACCAGGAAGCCGCCUGCAGGGUGCGGCUGAAACUUGCUGGGAGGUGAGCUCCACUGUGCCUCCACUGUGCCAGCCAGGUGCCACUGGCGUAAGAGGGAAGGAAAGCACCAGGGACCUGGGAGGGAGACACUGUCCCCUUCCCAGCGUUCCUUCAGCGCCCCCUACUGGCAGGCCUAACAGCAUUCCUGCUGGUGAGGAAGCCUUGUCCCAGCAUCACAGCCGAGCCCUGGGGAAGGGAUUUGGGAAGGAGGAGUCACGUGAUUGCUUGAAGCAACUUUGCCGAGUUCUCCCUCCAGUCAAGGGGUCUAGCCUGUGAACUGAGUUAGGUCUGAGCAUUGGGUGAGAGGCAGUCACUGUCCACAGUUGUGAUUCAGGUCAGGUUUUUGGCUCUUAGGCCUAAAGGUUUCUCCCCCGUGUUACAGCUCAGUCAGCUAUAACUUACAUUCUUAGGGCCACCAUGUUUGGGUAACCACUGUCAAAAGAUCCCUGGGGACCAAGGCGUUGUGCGUACGUAUCUGCUGUCUCCCCCAACCCCCUUUUUGGCUGCACCUGUGGCAUGUGGACGUUCCCAGGCCAGGAACCAAACCCAUGCCCCAGCAGUGACCUGAGCCACUGCAGUGACAACGCCAGGUCCUUUACCCACCGAGCCAGAAGGGGUCUCCAGUAUCUGCCACGCUCCAUGGCUGCUGCACCCCGCCCGGCGCCUUACUGGUUGGUGCCUGUCGUUUGGCCUCCCCUGCUCUGGGACCCCACCAUCUCCACUGAGGGCGGAGGGCUGGCUCCUCAGCGGCACAUCCCCACGGCUGUUCACAGACCUGCCCUCUCACCAUGUAGCCUCAGUGCCUGAAUCAAACACCUGUCUUCCAGGACUUCGCAGAAGGCGAAGGUGGUGUGACGGUCACACAGGAUGCGGCCGGCCCAACCCUCCCGUCUCCCUGCGUCUCUGGCCUCUCCCCUUCAUGCGGGGGAAGUUGUGCAUCGCAGCAGCCUUGUUAUGCGUGGGCCGUUUCCUGAGCGUAAGUUUCAGUCGCUCAGACACCUGUAGAAACAGGUCCAGCUGCUCAAGAGAGUAAAGACAUGAAUGCCGGGCUCGGCAACCGCCCGUCAGCAGUGCAUGUGAGCCCAUCUCGUGUGAGGCUCCACCCUCCCUGGUCUAUCAGCCUUGGAAGCCACAUUUUUGCGUACAUCCAGUACAUAGCUAUUCCUGCUCCGUGUUGGAAAAGCUUACACUUUGUAGGUGUGUAAGCUAUUCUUCCUGAGGCGGGGUGUGGUCUCGUUCCCCUGGAACACGCUGUGAUUUGACCUUCGUCACAUGGCUGGUGGCGGUAGAGGGCUAUGGGGGGACUGGAGAAUGGGUGCCCUGCCCCCACUACCUUCAAGCCGUCUACCCUUGGCAAGGUUGUCCCUGGGUCUUCAAGCAAAGGAAGACUGCUCUUCUAGAUGCCACAAACGAGUAGUGAGAGAGGCUGAGAAUGACCGGGGCUUGAGGAUGGUCAGCUCCCCUGCCUCUAACCAGAUGGCCCCGCCUCACACCACCCCCCAGCCAGGGCCUCACUUCCCCUUGAGAUGCCGAGGAGGCCGAAUUCGACUGUUGUUCACAAGCAGCCCAGUGAGACUGUCUGGGCUUUGGAGGUGUCAGCCCUGUGACUGCAGGAAAAAGAGCUUCAGUUAGGGCCUCCACUGAAGCAUUCUGGUUCUCGCUGUCGCUUGUCCUGAGAGUUGUCACCAUGACUGGUCAUCUUCUCUCUGUAUGCAGGCUAGUGCCCUGGGGACCACCCCACACGGCAUCCCUGUUGUCAUGGUUACCAGCCGUCUAAAAAGCUCAGGGCUGCAGGGACUCCAAGGUGCCUGGUCAGUCAGCUCUUCAUCACAAGCAACCAGAAGCCGUGGCUUGGUUAAUUUAGCUCUGAUGCUGGUGCGUGCAGCGUGCCACGGAUGACCAGCGUCUCAUUUCCCACUGCCGGGAGCUCAGCCCUGUGUACACUUGAUGUCACAACAGGUCAAUCCCUACAUCCCACCUUUGCAAGGCUGUCUCUUGUGAUCACUCCUGGUGCCAGUUCUGUAUCAGUCAGGGUCCAGUCCAGCAGGCGGUAACCUUGAGCAAGGAGCCUUUGACAUAAGGAAUUAUUAACUAUUUCCAGGGAGGAAAAGAGAGGCUUCUAAGGAUACCCCAAAGGAGUGUCCCCAAGGAAGGAAUAAACGCAGAAGGGAGGGAGCCCUCCUGAAGGCUGGAGUGAGACCUGGUUGGAAGUGGUGUUGUUUCAGCUCCACAGACGACAGAGAAGUUUGCUGGAUUGAUCUUGUUCCUGGACCAGAGAUGGUCCAUGUUUUUUGGUCCAAGACUGAUGGACAAGAACCUGGAGCAAGCAGAAGGCAGGACCCCUGCCCCCCCCCCCCCCGCACUGGGAUGCCCAUGUAAUUGGCCUGGAAGCUGCCCCUGGGGAAGGGAGGUGCAGACAGCUUUGCUCAGAAGCUGGGACGUGGCUGGGCUGGCUGGUGAGCUGCUGAGAAGCCCUCUGGGGGAGCCACCGAACUCUGCACCAGGAAGCUGUCCCAGGUGCCCUGAAGCUCACUGGGAGGCGAGCUCCCCUGGGUGCACCGCGCUGCAGUCCAGCAGCAUGGGAACAAGGAGGGAGGAGGAUGCGGCUAACGGGGAAGAAACUUCCUCCCCCACUGUCCCUCCAGCUCCCUCUACCGACUGAGCCUAAAAUUGCGUCUGCUGGCAAGCGCUGGUCUGGCAUCAGAAGCAAAUGGUCUAUUGAAGAGUAGUGUUGGGACAGUGGGUCCAUAUUCACACAGCAUACACACAUGCACACGUGUGGGUGCAAGCAGACAGAUCUCCACAUUUCACCGUGUGGAUGCAUUGCAAUCUGACAGACUGGAGAAAG